This 104-nucleotide ribosomal RNA is filed under the name Acanthosepion pharaonis. The record is from RNAcentral. Lineage: Eukaryota; Metazoa; Mollusca; Cephalopoda; Sepiida; Sepiidae.
UACAGCCAUUGAAACACCGGUUCUCGUACGAUCACCGAAGUUAAGCAACGUCGAGCCUGAUUAGUACUUAGAUGGGCGACUGCUUGGAAAUACCAGGUACUGUA